This 1478-nucleotide ribosomal RNA is filed under the name uncultured organism. Its description in RNAcentral is "SSU rRNA". It matches the Rfam family "Bacterial small subunit ribosomal RNA". The record is from RNAcentral.
GCGGCGUGCCUAAUACAUGCAAGUCGAGCGAGCGGAACUAACAGAUUUACUUCGGUAAUGACGUUAGGAAAGCGAGCGGCGGAUGGGUGAGUAACACGUGGGGAACCUGCCCCAUAGUCUGGGAUACCACUUGGAAACAGGUGCUAAUACCGGAUAAGAAAGCAGAUCGCAUGAUCAGCUUUUAAAAGGCGGCGUAAGCUGUCGCUAUGGGAUGGCCCCGCGGUGCAUUAGCUAGUUGGUAAGGUAAAGGCUUACCAAGGCGAUGAUGCAUAGCCGAGUUGAGAGACUGAUCGGCCACAUUGGGACUGAGACACGGCCCAAACUCCUACGGGAGGCAGCAGUAGGGAAUCUUCCACAAUGGACGCAAGUCUGAUGGAGCAACGCCGCGUGAGUGAAGAAGGUUUUCGGAUCGUAAAGCUCUGUUGUUGGUGAAGAAGGAUAGAGGUAGUAACUGGCCUUUAUUUGACGGUAAUCAACCAGAAAGUCACGGCUAACUACGUGCCAGCAGCCGCGGUAAUACGUAGGUGGCAAGCGUUGUCCGGAUUUAUUGGGCGUAAAGCGAGCGCAGGCGGAAGAAUAAGUCUGAUGUGAAAGCCCUCGGCUUAACCGAGGAACUGCAUCGGAAACUGUUUUUCUUGAGUGCAGAAGAGGAGAGUGGAACUCCAUGUGUAGCGGUGGAAUGCGUAGAUAUAUGGAAGAACACCAGUGGCGAAGGCGGCUCUCUGGUCUGCAACUGACGCUGAGGCUCGAAAGCAUGGGUAGCGAACAGGAUUAGAUACCCUGGUAGUCCAUGCCGUAAACGAUGAGUGCUAAGUGUUGGGAGGUUUCCGCCUCUCAGUGCUGCAGCUAACGCAUUAAGCACUCCGCCUGGGGAGUACGACCGCAAGGUUGAAACUCAAAGGAAUUGACGGGGGCCCGCACAAGCGGUGGAGCAUGUGGUUUAAUUCGAAGCAACGCGAAGAACCUUACCAGGUCUUGACAUCUAGUGUCAUUUGUAGAGAUACAAAGUUCCCUUCGGGGACGCUAAGACAGGUGGUGCAUGGCUGUCGUCAGCUCGUGUCGUGAGAUGUUGGGUUAAGUCCCGCAACGAGUGCAACCCUUGUUAUUAGUUGCCAGCAUUAAGUUGGGCACUCUAAUGAGACUGCCGGUGACAAACCGGAGGAAGGUGGGGAUGACGUCAAGUCAUCAUGCCCCUUAUGACCUGGGCUACACACGUGCUACAAUGGGCAGUACAACGAGAAGCGAGCCUGCGAAGGCAAGCGAAUCUCUGAAAGCUGUUCUCAGUUCGGACUGCAGUCUGCAACUCGACUGCACGAAGCUGGAAUCGCUAGUAAUCGCGGAUCAGCACGCCGCGGUGAAUACGUUCCCGGGCCUUGUACACACCGCCCGUCACACCAUGGGAGUCUGCAAUGCCCAAAGCCGGUGGCCUAACCUUCGGGAAGGAGCCGUCUAAGGCAGGGCAGAUGACUGGGGUGAAA